GGUUUCCCUCACCGAUGUCCGUGGUACUCAAAAAUGGUUUCGUGAACAGAUUGAAUAUAUACUGGACAUCCACCAAGUGUCCUGCAUGCAUUAGGCACCGGGGAUGGUGGACAAGACAGUCAAACGUCCUGUAGUCCCAGCUCAGCAGCCGAAGCUGGCACAGCUGUCCUCACGUGGACUUCCUCUCAUGGGCCAGUUGGGCCAUGUUCCCUACCUCUGUUGACUUGGGAACCUUGGCGGCUGCUAGCAGUCUGUGUCCUCUUCAGCAUCUGGUGCUCAAGAAUUAAUGUUUAAUUGAAUAAAACAAUCCCAGGGUGACAAGACAGCAUCUGCCCUGGCCUCACCAUAGUGAGUCAGGGUCCGGGACCAGCCCCAUCUUUCAGCCCCACGUCAAUGAGCCAAAUCAUUAAAAAUGGGCCUUUGAGGUCCAAUCUGCAACUA
Long non-coding RNA from Suricata suricatta (meerkat), 441 nucleotides. RefSeq lists it as uncharacterized. Lineage: Eukaryota; Metazoa; Chordata; Mammalia; Carnivora; Herpestidae. The record is from RefSeq and is a predicted model, not a curated record. The transcript has 2 exons.